GUAGGGAGAGUUUCUUCAACACAGUGCAGGUGACCCUGAUGUCAAGCAUUAACUACACCUGUGGAGACCUACGUAGCAGCGGCAUCUCACUCGGUUCUCCUUUUACAGAUGAUGAGACUGAGGCUCAGAGAGGCCCCUUGUCCUGUGUGGAAAGCCAGUGAGGACAGACCCGUGUCUUCUCCACUAUGCGACCCUGUCACAUUGGGGGUUUCCUGACCACACAGAGGCCUUUGCCCUCACAUGUUAACCACAGCAGCUUUAAUAUAUACAUACCAGAAUAGCAUUCCACGAGGACAUCUGUACAGAACGAUCAGAACCAUCCCUGGCUGUACAACACUCUAAGGCCGUACUGCAUGUCCCAGUGGAAGGUUUCUCUUGCCUGACUCCCUCUCACCUCCCCAGAAGAAAGGAUAUGAUGGAAUAGUGCCUGUCUUGUCUCCUGCACUCAUCACCUCUUAUUCUAAUUAUCCGCUGCUGCCUAACAAACUACCCCAAACCUAGUGGCUACAAGAAGAAAAAAAAAUAUUAUGGCGACCAAUCUGAUUUGAGCAGGGGUUGGCAGGCCGCUCAUCUCUGCUCUAUGUGGAUUCAGCUGGGGCAGCUCAAAGCCUGAGGGUGACUCGUGCUGUGAGCCGGGCUCAGCUGAAGUUUUUCUCACUCUCAGGUCUGGCGGACCUCAGUUCAGACACCCACAUGUGACUUCUCCAUGGUGGCUGGCUGCCAGGAGUGAACAUCCUAACAGAACCAGAUGGAAGAUACAUCACCUUUUAUGAUCUGUCCUCGGUUGUCACAUAGAGUCACUUUGACCAUUGUCACAAGCCCACUCCCACUCAAGGGAAGGAAAUCUAGAUCUCACUUCUUUUGGGAGCAGUGGUAAAGUCCCUCUGUAAGAGGAGCAUGUGGGGUGGGAGAUAUUGUUGCAGCCACUUUGGGUAAUCUGGUCCACUCUUUCUAUCCCCGCUCCUAACCUCCCCAUUUGCUUGAUAGCAAACCAAUCCCCUUCCCAUAGGGGAAGCCCAUGACCUGGGUUGGCCAACUGUAACCAUCAUCUGUCUAGCCACAGGGCUUGGGCCAGGGGUGAGCAUUGGAUCCAAACCAGCUCAACUGCAGCCAAGCCCUUCUCACCCUGUGGUCAGAAACCCCACAGCAGGGGGAAGCCGCACACGAAAGACACACAGCAGAGCUGCACAGACAACGCCAUGCAGUUGCUGAACAACCCUGGACUCUUCAGACUUCUUAUGUGAAAUGAAACCCUUAGCUGGUAAGCCAUGGGGGUAGGUUUUCUGUUACAGCUGAACACAAUCCUAAUUUAUACUUGGAACAAAUGGCCACUCUCACAUUCACCCCAAAUUCAUCACUGACACAAUCAUAAAG
Molecule: long non-coding RNA, 1374 nt
Organism: Myotis brandtii (Brandt's bat)
Lineage: Eukaryota; Metazoa; Chordata; Mammalia; Chiroptera; Vespertilionidae
Exons: 3
Source: RefSeq, a predicted model, not a curated record